This 127-nucleotide small RNA is filed under the name Marmota monax (woodchuck). The record is from RNAcentral. Lineage: Eukaryota; Metazoa; Chordata; Mammalia; Rodentia; Sciuridae.
GCCAGGCAUGGUGAUGCACACCUGUAAUCCCAGUGACUUGGGAGGCUGAGCCAGGAGGAUUGCAAGUUUGAAGUUAGCCUCAGCAACUUAGCGAGGCCUUAAGCAACUCAGGGAGACCCUGACUCAA